Cricetulus griseus (Chinese hamster) is the source of this 140-nucleotide small nucleolar RNA. Ensembl annotates it as small nucleolar RNA ACA64. NCBI's taxonomy places the organism in Eukaryota, Metazoa, Chordata, Mammalia, Rodentia, Cricetidae. The record is from Ensembl.
GUUCGUUGAAAAUUACCCCUGGUAUUGGCCUUGAUGGUUAUGUGGAGGUUAAGAUUGGCUGCUCAGAACCAAUAGAGGCCUUACAUCACCACCUGCUACCUCAGGGGUGUGGGGAAGGUGAAACCCAGGCUCUGAGAGUC